This 292-nucleotide ribosomal RNA is filed under the name uncultured eukaryote. RNAcentral describes it as "partial 18S ribosomal RNA". It matches the Rfam family "Eukaryotic small subunit ribosomal RNA", at positions 6 to 301 of the family's 1831-position model. The record is from RNAcentral.
GGUUGAUCCUGCCAGUAUUAUAUGCUGAUGUUAAAGAUUAAGCCAUGCAUGUGUAAGUAUAAAGACCAAGUAGGAUGAAACUGCGGACGGCUCAUUAUAACAGUAAUAGUUUCUUUGGUUAGUAAAGUACAAGGAUACCUUUGUGAAUGAUAAAGAUAAUACUUGAGACGAUCCGACUUGUAUUAGUACAAGUUGGCCACCUUUUUUACGAGAGGUGAAAAAUGACAUUCUGGAUUGAACAAGAAUGCCACGACAAUUGUAGAGCACACAGUGUUUAACAAGUAACCAAUGA